GAAGGUGGCCUGUGAGGGUUGCUGGAGGUAUCAGAAGUGCGAAUGCUGACAUAAGUAACGAUAAAGCGGGUGAAAAGCCCGCUCGCCGGAAGACCAAGGGUUCCUGUCCAACGUUAAUCGGGGCAGGGUGAGUCGACCCCUAAGGCGAGGCCGAAAGGCGUAGUCGAUGGGAAACGGGUUAAUAUUCCCGUACUUGGUGUUACUGCGAAGGGGGGACGGAGAAGGCUAUGUUGGCCGGGCGACGGUUGUCCCGGUUUAAGCGUGUAGGUGUGUGUUCCAGGUAAAUCCGGUUCACUUUAACACUGAGGCGUGACGACGAGGCACUACGGUGCUGAAGCAACAAAUGCCCUGCUUCCAGGAAAAGCCUCUAAGCAUCAGGUAACAUCAAAUCGUACCCCAAACCGACACAGGUGGUCAGGUAGAGAAUACCAAGGCGCUUGAGAGAACUCGGGUGAAGGAACUAGGCAAAAUGGUGCCGUAACUUCGGGAGAAGGCACGCUGACACGUAGGUGAAGUGAUUUACUCAUGGAGCUGAAGUCAGUCGAAGAUACCAGCUGGCUGCAACUGUUUAUUAAAAACACAGCACUGUGCAAACACGAAAGUGGACGUAUACGGUGUGACGCCUGCCCGGUGCCGGAAGGUUAAUUGAUGGGGUCAGCGCAAGCGAAGCUCCUGAUCGAAGCCCCGGUAAACGGCGGCCGUAACUAUAACGGUCCUAAGGUAGCGAAAUUCCUUGUCGGGUAAGUUCCGACCUGCACGAAUGGCGUAAUGAUGGCCAGGCUGUCUCCACCCGAGACUCAGUGAAAUUGAACUCGCUGUGAAGAUGCAGUGUACCCGCGGCAAGACGGAAAGACCCCGUGAACCUUUACUAUAGCUUGACACUGAACAUUGAGCCUUGAUGUGUAGGAUAGGUGGGAGGCUUUGAAGUGUGGACGCCAGUCUGCAUGGAGCCGACCUUGAAAUACCACCCUUUAAUGUUUGAUGUUCUAACGUGGACCCGUGAUCCGGGUUGCGGACAGUGUCUGGUGGGUAGUUUGACUGGGGCGGUCUCCUCCUAAAGAGUAACGGAGGAGCACGAAGGUUGGCUAAUCCUGGUCGGACAUCAGGAGGUUAGUGCAAUGGCAUAAGCCAGCUUGACUGCGAGCGUGACGGCGCGAGCAGGUGCGAAAGCAGGUCAUAGUGAUCCGGUGGUUCUGAAUGGAAGGGCCAUCGCUCAACGGAUAAAAGGUACUCCGGGGAUAACAGGCUGAUACCGCCCAAGAGUUCAUAUCGACGGCGGUGUUUGGCACCUCGAUGUCGGCUCAUCACAUCCUGGGGCUGAAGUAGGUCCCAAGGGUAUGGCUGUUCGCCAUUUAAAGUGGUACGCGAGCUGGGUUUAGAACGUCGUGAGACAGUUCGGUCCCUAUCUGCCGUGGGCGCUGGAGAACUGAGGGGGGCUGCUCCUAGUACGAGAGGACCGGAGUGGACGCAUCACUGGUGUUCGGGUUGUCAUGCCAAUGGCACUGCCCGGUAGCUAAAUGCGGAAGAGAUAAGUGCUGAAAGCAUCUAAGCACGAAACUUGCCCCGAGAUGAGUUCUCCCUGAGACUUUAAGUCUCCUGAAGGAACGUUGAAGACGACGACGUUGAUAGGCCGGGUGUGUAAGCGCAGCGAUGCGUUGAGCUAACCGGUACUAAUGAACCGUGAGGCUUAACCUUACAACGCCGAAG
This 1707-nucleotide ribosomal RNA is filed under the name Salmonella enterica subsp. enterica serovar Saintpaul. RNAcentral describes it as "bacterial LSU rRNA". It matches the Rfam family "Bacterial large subunit ribosomal RNA", at positions 1252 to 2925 of the family's 2925-position model. Lineage: Bacteria; Pseudomonadati; Pseudomonadota; Gammaproteobacteria; Enterobacterales; Enterobacteriaceae. The record is from RNAcentral.